ACUCCUUCGGCUCCCUAAGCAGCGAACCGGCCGUGGGCUGCAGCGGGGCUGUCACUUCCCAUCAGCCAAAUAUUUGGCGUUACGCCUUUUCAGGGCACAGCCUUCCCGCCACUUUUCUUUUUGAGUUGUGGGAGUUAAGAGUCUGAUCUCGGCUUCGUUCCGUGCGUGUGACGCUGAGUCAGGAGCCGGAGGUGUCCCCACGCCGCGCUCGGCCCCUCGCCAUGUGUCACGGCGCUGCCCACGCGCGGUGCCGCAGCUCUGGGCAGGUGCUGAGAGCUCGAAGCCUGUGGAGCACCCUGAGAAGUGACUUCUAGAGGUAGGCCCUGCGC
This 329-nucleotide long non-coding RNA is filed under the name Coturnix japonica (Japanese quail). Its description in RNAcentral is "lncRNA (ENSCJPG00005001745.1)". Lineage: Eukaryota; Metazoa; Chordata; Aves; Galliformes; Phasianidae. The record is from RNAcentral.